Long non-coding RNA from Pogoniulus pusillus (Red-fronted tinkerbird), 4781 nucleotides. RefSeq lists it as uncharacterized. The record is from RefSeq and is a predicted model, not a curated record. The transcript has 2 exons. NCBI's taxonomy places the organism in Eukaryota, Metazoa, Chordata, Aves, Piciformes, Lybiidae.
UGACAGCAUGGUGAUGAUGGCAAUGGGAAAGGCUCUUGGAAAGCACAUGUUAAGAGGGGUGAAGGUUGUGGGGUGGUUAGGAAUGUUCUUAGGAGACAUUUGUAUAGAGGCCAAAGAGAGGAUGGUGCAGAUGAAGAGAAUGUUAUCUAGAGUUGUAAGGAGCCCAGAAGAAGACAGGAGAACCAAUUCUAAGCUGGCUAGGGAGAUAUUGUGUUACAGGUGCCAGCAUUCUAGAGGUUGGUGACAAGCCUGCAAACCACAUAGGGCCACUUAAAAAGGCAAGUGGAAUCGACUAAUACAUAGCAAGCUCUCUUGGUAAGAUUACACUGUGGGCAUGCCUUUGGUUGGCUGUGCUACUGAGGUACCCUUCUGGAGGAGAUUUGCCACAGACAUCUAGGAAGUGGACCACACUUGAGCAGGGAAUUAAGCUUCUGAGGGAGUUUGCUGUAAAGGAAAUACUUUCUGGAGAUGACGGUAUGCAGAAUCCUGAUGAAAUUCCUGUUGGAAAAUGUCUUUGAAAGAAACUUCUUGACAUUAGAUGGAGGAGCAAGUUUAAUAGUUUGGUAAACAGGUUUGUGUGAGAGAACAACGAUGGAAGACUUCCUACAGUUGGUGAAUUCCCUGACCAAAUGAGGCAGUUAGAGGACAUUUUGUCCCACACUUCUUUAGUGUCUGCUUUAAAAACUCAGGCUGCAGAAACGAAAGGUAGAAUAAAAAAGAUGGAGGAGGCCCUUAAAAUCUCCAUAUCUAAGUUGGUGAAGGAAAAAGCAUUUCAUCUGGAGAUGAAUCCAGUACCAGUUGAACAGUUUACCUCAGGAGUGGAAACACAGUUGGACAAUGUGUCAUUCGGUCAUCCACAAUGCAUUGGAGAAAGGUAAAGUCCCAGAACAUCUGCAAUUCAUCAAUGACAACAUUGUGUGGGACCAAACUGCUGAGGAAGCCUUUGAGAAAGGUAACACAAUAAUUGACAUUUGGUUGAAGGCAGGUUUUACCAUAAAGAGGACAAAGUAAAAGGACCUGCCAGACAAAUACAGGCAGGAUGGUCACUGUCCCAUUCCACAGGAUGUGCUAAAGGAAUUCUCCACCAUGGCAGUUCCUGUGACUAAAGAAGACCCUUCCAGUUUCUUGGGUGCAGUGGGAUUUUUGGAAACCUGGAUUCAGUCAGAUUGUUAAACCUCUGCAAGAUGUGACUUGUGAAAGGAGCAAUUUUGAGUAGGGACCUGAGCAGCAAGCAGCCUUUGAUCAGAUCAAACGAUUCCUGUCGUCUUGUCGGGAAGAAGCAAAGAUGGAAGUCAGCAGUCUGGAGUCCCGGCAGGAGAGUUACAGAAGUGAGAGAUGGAGAAGGUGAAUCCAGUCAAUUUGCUGAAGUAAAAGCUGUCCAGCUUGCUCUUGAUGUGGCCGAAUGUGAAAACUUGGCUAUCCUUUACCUCUACGCUGACUCGUGGGUGGUAGCCAAUACUCUAUAGGGUUGUCUAAAAGACUGGAAAAAGAACUGGUGGCAGAUGAAUAAAAGUCUAUUUGGUGUGCUGGUCUAUGGGAGGAAAUUGAUGGUUGCCUUGAGAAAAUGCCAGUGCAAGUGCAGCGCAGAAACACACACAGGCCUAAGAACAAAGCUACUCAGGAACAUAAACACAACCAUGGGGCAGAUCAAGCUGCUAGAGUUUCUCAAGUUGAUACAAAGUAUGAUCUUGACCUCGAUAGGAAACAUGGAGGUGAGCUGUUCUGGGCUUGGUGGGCCCUUCAUUCAUUUGGACACCAAGGCCGAGAUGCAACUUACUGGUGAGCAUGUGACACGUCAAUGGACUUCUCCAUGGAUCACAGGAUAUUAGGGGUUGGUAGGUAAAUAGGGUGUGUGAUACGGUAGAAGUAACCACUAGGUGUGUGGAAUAGGCUGCAUGCUGUUUUUUAAUGAACGAAUCACAAGAUGCCAGAAUGUACUAACUGCCACAUGAACAGAACUCAAAAAGUGUCUAAGAGAUACACAGUAAAGGUCUUGGGAAUCUUGCGGCGUUUGCCACAGUCGAGGUUCUGUAAACAGAACGGGACCUGCACAAUCAGGUUUGUUGCAAACAGUGGAUGGUAAUAAAAUUCCUGUUGUGCGUGAAAAGAAUCUGUUAGGAAAAGCUGUUUGGGAACUUUCUCCUUUGGGUGAAGAGAAACCUGUGCGAGGGGUGGUUUCCGCUGAAGGUCCUGGUCAUCCAUACCGGGUAAUGCAGGAGAAUGGUGAAAUCCAGUGUAUUCCAGGAAGAAAUCUAACUUUAGAUGAGAGACUUAAACCUCAGAGCGCAUAAUAGAAGCUGUAAGAACUUGUGUUUGGGGUACAAUGCGGCAUCAAAAAGACGAAUCUUUGAGAGAUCUACAGUACAAGGGCAUGAAGCUAUGUCACUUGGGAGUUCCUGUUUUCAUGUCAUCUGUGAAGAGACAAACCGUUUCCUGUCUUCUGGUCUUUUGAGUCGCCUACAUCUAAGAUAGCUGGAAUGAAGUAUGAAGUGGUGUUGCAGAGGGGAAAUGAAUUGGUGGGAGAUGAUAGUCUACAAAAACAUAUAAUUUAUUAACUUUAAUAUUCUGAACUCUUGCCAACCCCAACCACUGAAUUGUAAUAUUAAUAUUUGUUCUUACAUGCUUAUGGAAGACAUUCUAGGAAUAUCAGCAAACAGAACUAUUAUUAUCUAGCAAACAUUCAAACUAUAAACAGAGAGAGGAAUUUCCCCACAGCCAAAUGCCACUUGGGGUCAAUCUGCUGCUUGCCCACUAGGUGGGCGGAAGCUCGUUCUGCUUUAUGGCAGAAGGCAGUAGAGAAUUACAGAGACAUUUAAAGCAUUUACUCACAAAUUCCUAUUAAUCGUCAAUCACCCUCCGGGGCUACGUCACAGCCUAUACAAGUGUCCAAUCUUCAGGGAGCUCUGCCCAUGGACUUCAAGGCUGAGUUCCUCCUGGUUUCAGGGGAAAGGAUGCAGACGUGCAGACAAUCUCUGACUUUGUUCUCAUGUCUUCUUCUGACAGGACCUGAGGUGCAGGAGGAUGUCAUACAGUCUCAGCACGACGUCCCGCUGGCCAUGCAGGCCGAUCACGUGCAGACAGUCAAGGGUCUGCUCCUGGUAACUUGCGGCAGUGGAGUUUACCAGGCAGCAGUAAGGCAGCGGUCGUGCAAUAGGGUGGACGGGAGACUGGGCUCCGUAGAGAAAGGCAGGCAAUACAAGCAAAUAGCAACAAGCAGUGAAGCAAAAGCAAGCAAGCAGGCAGGCACUUUGUUUACCUGUGUACCUCCUAUUUAUCACAUGUGGGCUGAGAAUAAUGGCCCCUUGGCUGUCAGAAUGACCAAUGAGCUUGGCAGUUAACCAAAGCAUACCAUAAUAGGCAAGGGCCACAGGCCUGGCCUCCUCCAAAUAUGGGGCUAGCAUGGGCCUUGCACCUAGUAAGCUGCAAGCUAGGUGCAUGGGCUUACCCAAGCGCGUUACACAACUUGGGCCCUGGGCAGGCCAGACUUUAUGGCGCCAGGUCUAUUGUGGCCUUUUUGCAUUUGUUUGUAUCCGUUUAAUGCGUUUACCCCUGGUGCGGGCAGAAAAACACGUCCAGGCAAGACAGAACAUGUAUAAGCCUAUUUUGGGCAACUGGAAACACAGACUUUACAAGGAUGGAUAAAUAUUUUUUUAGAUUUGACAGAUGACUGUAUGUAAAACAGUGAAUGAUCUAGAGGAGUGAUUUGUCAUGGUUUGAGGCCAAUUGCGAUAUUUUAAUGAAGGAAUGAGAUGAUUGGUUGUAAAAGGAAAAUAAUGAUGAAGUCUGUCAUUCAUUGGUCUGCUUUCUGGGAUAGAAAGAAUGUCAACAAUUUGUACCACUCUGGUCUGUGAUGCUGGAUCUAAUAGCUUCCUCCUCAUUCUGUUCUGGUGUCUGUUCUACUGAUUGUGGCUAUCAGGAAACAAUGUUUCAGCCGCUCACAGUUACUUAAAACUUGCUGUAAGGGGCCACUAGGCUCUUUUGUGUGUGGCACACUGGGGUAACCUUACAGGGCCUCCUGUAAUACUAGAGAAUUCCUAAGACAUCACUCUAAGUGCUCUGUGGGUAUGGGCACACCAAUAUUGGUAGGCUCUUCUCCUGUUGCGUCUACAAUUCUUUGUCUGCCCUUGCAGAUCAACUCACCUAUUGCUUCCAUUUGAGUUUGAAUGCUUGUUUUUGGUCGAUUAUAAGAUUGCAUUGUUUGUCAAGGGCACUGCUUGCCUGGGGAUCCUUUCCCCCUUUUCCUUUUUACCAUUGACAAACCACGGCAAAAGAGCGCGUGACACGGUUACGGACGAGCAGCAAUAGCGAUAGUUCAGCGAGUCGUCGGCUGACAGCACCGGCAGCAAUCUUUUGAGCAAACUUCCGCAAGACAGACUCAAGGAGAAACCGUUAUAGAUUGACAGGCAUCAGUACCACAGAAAAGUGGCAGAAGAGGAGCAAUAUCGGCAUUAGCGAUACCCACAGCGUUUCUAAGCCACUGAAUGUUGCCCAGGAGCGUCUGCGCAUCAGUAAGGAUAGUUAACUUUACAUCCAAUUCAACCUUUGGUGGCUGAAUAACUGAAUCAGAAUUUUUCUACUGUAGAUAAUUCCAAGGCGCCCUCUGCUCAUCCUUCUCAGCUGCUACUGUUAAACCUUUCUCCCUCAGUUUUGCAGUGAUGUGGUUUGUAUCUUGAUCAGUGAAUUGUGUCCGUCUGCAGAACAGCAUGUCAUGCAUAUAGUGGUAAAUGAUGACCUCAGACCAGAGGAUCAAAUGGGUGCCAAAGCCCAAGCCACAUAUAGUU